RNAcentral lists this ribosomal RNA (445 nucleotides) under uncultured bacterium. RNAcentral describes it as "partial 16S ribosomal RNA". It matches the Rfam family "Bacterial small subunit ribosomal RNA", at positions 354 to 796 of the family's 1533-position model. The record is from RNAcentral.
GUGAGGAAUAUUGCGCAAUGGAGGCAACUCUGACGCAGCCAUGCCGCGUGCAGGAAGAAGGCGCUACGCGUUGUAAACUGCUUUUAACCGGGAAGAAACCCCAGGACGUGUCCUGGGUUGACGGUACCGGAGGAAUAAGCACCGGCUAACUUCGUGCCAGCAGCCGCGGUAAUACGAAGGGUGCAAGCGUUAUCCGGAGUCAUUGGGUUUAAAGGGUGCGUAGGCGGAGCGUUAAGUCAGUGGUGAAAUCCUGCAGCUUAACUGUAGACUUGCCAUUGAUACUGGCGCUCUUGAGUGCGCUUGAAGUGGGCGGAAUGUGCCGUGUAGCGGUGAAAUGCUUAGAUAUGGCACAGAACACCAAUUGCGAAGGCAGCUCACUAAGGCGAUACUGACGCUGAGGCACGAAAGCGUGGGGAUCGAACAGGAUUAGAAACCCGAGUAGUCC